GUUUUUAAUUCUGAAGUGAUUUUUGCAAGCCAAGUUUCAGCACAUUGUCAUUAGCGUUGAGUAAAAUUAAUUUGGUAAAUAACUUUUUGAGUAAAAGCUUUUUGGACGGAAUGUCUUUAUCUUUCUAGGAGGUGGGGUGAUUCAAUCGGAUUUUAAUCCAAUCCUGAGCGCAUGUUUUCUCCCCUUUCCAGUAAAAUAGCAGGCGAGAUAAACUGAUGUUAGGCCUAACGUUAACGUUACCUGUUUUUUUUACACUGAACUUCUGGUAUAGUUUGAGUCUUUUGUUAAUAUUUUGACAUAUAUUCUCCACCUCCCCAUGUAAUGUUGUUUCAGAUAAUUUUCAUAUCAUAUUAAAUCUUAAAAUACUGUGCCUGUGUGUGUGUGCGCGCGUGUGUGUUCUGUUGUGUGUGUGUUGUUUUGCAGCUUACAGCUCAUUCAAGUGCCACUGGUCUUGCAGUAUUUCAUCUUUUCCAAACAACCGAGUAAAUUUACAGCUCAUUCAAGUGCCACUGGUCUGUUUUUGGAGAAUUUCAUGUUUAAGGUGCUGUGAGAAAGAGCCAUGUCUCCUGUGCCGCCACUGAUGAUGACAUUACUAAACACGUAAUACGGUGGUUCAACUUGGCAGCAGAUAGGGGAAACUCAAGGAGCCGUCCCACUGUCAGCACCCAACAGUAGCGUUUCGGUGUUUCACAGUUAACUUCUGUGUUUUGAAGUGUUCGUUUAACAGUUAAGUAGUAACAGUUGAGAUAAAGUUUACUACUUUAAAUAGUUUUGUGAUCUUCAAAAAACCCAGUUUCCACACAAAAAAAUAAGCAGUGCAACAUUAAUAAGAAUAAAUGUUUCUUGAGCUACAUUAAAAAAGUGUUCUUUUUCAUUAAAUAAAAAAUGUUCUUUGGACAAUUUAUGGUUGCAUUUCAUUUUCUGUAAUACCUAUUAAUUGUAUACAUAAAUAAUUGUUACUGGCUAAAAUGGCUGAAUUUUGAUUUACAAGUUUUGAAUGAUUUCAUCAUGUUUUAUUAAUAAAGGCAGGCAUAUUAAAUAUUAUAGAGCAAUCCAGUCUAUCCAAUGUCGGUCCAUUAGAUUUGAAAUAUUUCUUUAGCUAGUUUUGGCCAGAAUACUAGUUUUAAAUGAGGGAUCUGAAAGGUAUCCAGACAGAAU
Triplophysa rosa is the source of this 1158-nucleotide long non-coding RNA. RefSeq lists it as uncharacterized. The transcript has 3 exons. NCBI's taxonomy places the organism in Eukaryota, Metazoa, Chordata, Actinopteri, Cypriniformes, Nemacheilidae. The record is from RefSeq and is a predicted model, not a curated record.